RNAcentral lists this long non-coding RNA (917 nucleotides) under Oryza sativa tropical japonica subgroup. RNAcentral's name for it is "lncRNA OsCMeo_12g0021730". The record is from RNAcentral. Lineage: Eukaryota; Viridiplantae; Streptophyta; Magnoliopsida; Poales; Poaceae.
CUGCCACUCGACUGCUGUUCCCCUCUUGCUCUCUCCCUUGCCCUCACGGCGGCGGCGGCCGGCCAUCGCUCGCUUUUCUCCGCCGUCGACGACCAGUCCCCUUCCUCCUCCAUCGCCCCUCUCCUGCGGAUCGGAAAUGAUUUCUCCUCGUCCCGAUUUGACCUCUGGUUCAACCGAUAUGAAGCAAGCGGCGGCCGCGCCCGCGAAGAGCACCGGUUCGUGCGAGGAUGCUGGCCAAGAGAGAUCAAGGAGGAGAUAGCUGGCGGUCACUGCGGCGGAGUGAAUCUGCCUGGAACUUGUUCGUUCUUGAUGUCAUUCUCAAGAGCACUGCAUCUAGGCAGUGGAUUUUGCUUGGAUCCGCUUGUGCUUUGACUCCGGUCUGAUGGUAUUUGGUUAAAAAAUGUCAGGUCUACUUUCUUCCCUUUCCCUUACCUCAAAUGAUUCUCUUAUGGUUUGUGGCUGGAAUGGAGCAAUCGAUUUGGUAAAAAAUGUCACUCAGUGCAAGCUACAAGACUUGGCCUUGUGCUGCUGGAGCAGAGGAACUCCUAUUAUCUAUCCUACUGUUUUUUGGGUUGCACAAUUGGAACUGUCAAAGAUGGGAGGAUGUGUUGGUUGAUGUUCUAAUGCUAUCUGAUCAUUUUCUUCUCCAAUGAGAAAAAAAAAUGAAGCUGGCAUUGCAACUCCUGCAAUAUAAAUCUGGGCAACCGUUCAGCCUUCAUAUAUCAUAAUGUGUUCCCAGAUUUCGAAUGAUAUGUUACACAUGAACUGAUUAGGAUGGCUAGGAGAAAUUUGGUUCUUUCUCCAGAUGACGCAGUAACGAUGUAAUGACCUGAUAAGCAUGUACUUAUACAACAGCCAAGUAGAAAAUUGCAUUUCAUUGUUCAUAACAACUGAUUUGGUAAACAUUUUGUGGACCU